CGCAGCCGCGGUAAUUCCAGCUCCAAUAGCGUAUAUUAAAGUUGUUGCAGUUAAAAAGCUCGUAGUUGAAUUUCGGGGUUUAUCCGUUGGUCGGGCUUUUGGGUCUGUACUGGCGUGAUGGAUUCCUACCUUCUGAAUAACCAGCAUGUCAUUAAUUUGGUGCGUUGGGGAAGCAGGACUGUUACCUUGAAAAAAUUAGAGUGCUUAAAGCAGGCUAUUGCCUGAAUACAUUAGCAUGGAAUAAUGAAAUAGGACGCAUGGUUCUAUUUUGUUGGUUUCUAGGAUCACCGUAAUGAUUAAUAGGGAUAGUUGGGGGCAUUAGUAUUCAAUUGUCAGAGGUGAAAUUCUUGGAUUUAUUGAAGACUAACUUCUGCGAAAGCAUUUGCCAAGGAUGUUUUCAUUAAUCAAGAACGAAAGUUAGGGGAUCGAAGACGAUCAGAUACCGUCGUAGUCUUAACCAUAAACUAUGCCGACUAGGGAUCGGACGAUGUUAAUUUUUAAUGACUCGUUCGGCGCCUUA
RNAcentral lists this ribosomal RNA (520 nucleotides) under uncultured Acaulospora. RNAcentral describes it as "SSU rRNA". It matches the Rfam family "Eukaryotic small subunit ribosomal RNA", at positions 569 to 1090 of the family's 1831-position model. The record is from RNAcentral. Lineage: Eukaryota; Fungi; Glomeromycota; Glomeromycetes; Diversisporales; Acaulosporaceae.